UAAACUACGAUUAGAUACCCUAUUAUUUUAAAUGUGAAGGAUAAAUACUGGAGUAGUAUGAGAUAUGAUCUUGAAACUCAAAGAAUUUGGCGGUGUUUUAGUCCUUUCAGAGGAACCUGUCCCGUAAUCGAUAUUCCACGUUAUACCUUACUUAAUUUUGUUAAUCAGUUUGUAUACCGCCGUCGUCAGAAUGUCCUAUAAGGGUUGGAAUUUUCUUUAUUUGGAAUAAUUAAUUGAUGUCAGGUCAAGGUGCAGUUUAUGAUUAAGUGGAGGUGGGUUACAAUAAAUUUAUUUAAUACGGAUAGUUGUUUGUAAAUUAAUGAUUUGAAGGUGGAUUUGAAUGUAAUUAUAUAUAGAAUAGUAUUUUGAUUUAGGCUCUAAAACAUGCACACAUCGCCCGUCGCUCUUA
This 409-nucleotide ribosomal RNA is filed under the name Salmoperla sylvanica. Its description in RNAcentral is "partial 12S ribosomal RNA". The stretch from base 50 to 409 matches the Rfam family "Microsporidia small subunit ribosomal RNA", at positions 751 to 1207 of the family's 1311-position model. Lineage: Eukaryota; Metazoa; Arthropoda; Insecta; Plecoptera; Perlodidae. The record is from RNAcentral.